Molecule: long non-coding RNA, 1074 nt
Filed under: Lynx pardinus (Iberian lynx)
Lineage: Eukaryota; Metazoa; Chordata; Mammalia; Carnivora; Felidae
Source: RNAcentral
AUGCUCUGAUAACUCUGCUCCAGGAGGCAACGCUCUCAUGAGAGAGAGAGAGAGAGAGAGAGAAAGAGAGAGAGAGAGGAGACAGGAUUGGGGGCACUUCAGAGAAAAGAUCCAAGAGAAAAGUCUGGGACUCUGCCACCCAGCUCCCCGGCCCUGGGAGGGUCCAUGGCAGAUGUUUGGAAUGAGGCAGCUUGAUGGUCCCCCAGGGGCAUUCUUAUAAAGUCAGCUCUGGUAAGUGAUAUUCUUGAUACUUGAUGUGUUGCCAGAAGUUAGAAUAUUGCUUUUCUCUUACAUCUACACAUGCUGCUUGGAAGCCACUGGGUUUCUAUUUAGCGUUAUAGAUAUCCCAGCAAUGAUUUUCAGACAUCAUGUAACAUGUAGUAUCAAUCCAGGCAUAUGUAGAUAUUUGGGCUUAAGGAGGCAGUGGAGUAUCAUAAAGAAAAAGAAAGCAUUGCAUCAGGAAUCAGGAGGCCUAGGGCCCAACGGUAUUUUCGGUUCUGUUUGACUUUAGCAAAAGUGCCUAGCUUUGUUGAGGCACUGUGGUCUCUUCGUGGUGAGAGCCAUGCCCCCUUCCCCACCCCCUUCAUUGCUGCUGUCUUCAUAAAUCCCAGAGGGAAAUGAUACUCGGCCUAUUUCAGAGUUGCAAGGCUCACAACCUCCUGGUCAGGAUUUUAGACUCCAAUCCAUGUAAAAGAUCCUGGUCUUUUAACAGAACUAGAAAUGUCCUCAAUUGAGAAUCCGGUUAUAGAAUUAAAAAAAAAAAUAAAUAAAUUGGAAAGCAAUCUGUAAUUUGCAGUAAGAAAAGACUUGUAAAAUGAAUCAAAUUGCAUGAGUCCAAAAUGAAUAAGAAUGCCGAUUGCUGACUAUGAAUAUCUGAAUAGUGCUACUUUCUAAUUGCUUCACUUGCAUCAGAGAGAAAUAAAAUUGUGAGAGUGUGAAGUGUAUAAAGGAUUCUACCGCUCUCUCGGGGCUCAGAGACCCACAGAUUGGAGAAAGUAAGUGAGUGCCUUUCUGACCAUUGAAUUCCUCACUCAUUGCAAGUUAGAAAGCUCUAAGGAGGACUUUAAUGAAAUG